UUUAUGGCCUGGGGUGUUAAAACUAUUACAAUGUUGUUUAGACUUUAAUUGACUAUUAUUAUGUAUUAUAUGUUGAUUGAUAAUGUAUUAUUACUUGAACUUAAUGUAGAAUUAUGUUAUAUUUUAUAUUUUAUUUUAGAA
This is a long non-coding RNA of Ipomoea nil (Japanese morning glory), 141 nucleotides long. RefSeq lists it as uncharacterized. Lineage: Eukaryota; Viridiplantae; Streptophyta; Magnoliopsida; Solanales; Convolvulaceae. The record is from RefSeq and is a predicted model, not a curated record. The transcript has 3 exons.